Molecule: long non-coding RNA, 512 nt
Filed under: Scleropages formosus (Asian bonytongue)
Lineage: Eukaryota; Metazoa; Chordata; Actinopteri; Osteoglossiformes; Osteoglossidae
Description: lncRNA (ENSSFOG00015025981.1)
Source: RNAcentral
GUCUUCAGUCGAUGUGUGCCAUGCGGUCGGCUUGCGGCUCCAGUGCCUUCCCUCCUUAUUUGUGCCUUGGAAAGCAUCGCUUGUCUCCACAAGUUCUGGUUCCUCUACCUGAACUGAGUGGUAUGCAUCAGCUUUGUCCUUGAAGGUCUUCUGGUAGAGGUCUGCUAUUCUUCAUCUAUUUUCCCUUUCCAGCCAUGGCAGCAGAGAUCUUCUUCUCAGGCAUGACCACCUCCUCCAAAAGGGAGCUCUUCCAGGUGGGUAACUCCUUCGAGAGUGCAGUGCAUUCCUGGAAGAGACGGCCUAAUCUGACUCCAACAGCUGUCCUCAUCACUGUUUUUGUCUCUCUGUCACCAUCGUUUUUGCCUUUGGCCUCCCUGCUGACAAUGUCCGAGAUUGGUGACAACAUCUGACGAUGUUCUUUCUGUUGGUGUAAUGACAUUAUAUUUUUUCCUGAGAAAAAAAGUGUCUGCUAAAUGAAUAAAUGACCCUGAGCAGGGCUGUAAGUGCUGUGU